Long non-coding RNA from Rosa chinensis, 1615 nucleotides. RefSeq lists it as uncharacterized. Lineage: Eukaryota; Viridiplantae; Streptophyta; Magnoliopsida; Rosales; Rosaceae. The record is from RefSeq and is a predicted model, not a curated record. The transcript is spliced from 5 exons.
CAUAGUUAUUCGAUGGCGGCUAUUGUGAGGUUGCAAUUGAAGGGAGCAGAGGAAGACGAGAGUACUACAAGUUUUGAUCAUGUCCCCCUAUAGCUAGCCACUUCUCACUCUGAAAUCUGCUCAACUCUUUCCCGACUGACCAUGUCCGAAGCAUACCCGUGGCCCUUUUGUUCAACCCUGAGCAAAUCCCAUUAUCUCUCACCCAAAAUUGUAACAACCCAAACGCUCAAAACACCCAAUUCCUUUCUUCUGCCGAGUAUGAGAAAGAUCAGAGGUUUCAAGCUCGAAAAAGGACUUUGUCGGGUCACCCGUUGGUUCUUCCUCUGAAAACCCACGACCCGACACAGAUAACCACCGGCUUUGCCCGCCUUCAUCUCCGCCAUGCAAGUACAAGUCGCUUCGCGCGAAGCUACUUACUUGAGGUCAUCUGUUGUUUCUCAGGGAAUUGGUAGGCUAUCUUUGGUUGCUGCAUCUGCAGCUCAAUCAGCUGCAACUGUAGUACAGGCUGGCACAAAAAGCUUACCUCUAAGCAUUUCAGGAGGAGACACAUGAAUAGCUACUGAGUUUUGCUGAAGCUGAGCUACUGUUGUAGGACUAAAAAGGAGGGGAUCCACCGAUGAGUUCUUAGAUUUUAUCUUCAAAAUGUUAUGGCAGUUCCUUAUAUGUGGAAUUUGUAACGUUUAAAGUGAAGCAUAUUGUUUGUCUUUUAGGUGUUUGGCGGGGUUGGAAAGGAGAUAAAUUUUUUGCAACUGCAAGGAAUAUAAGUGCAGAUACAGAUACACACCACCCUCACAAACCAUAAUCUCCAUAAAGAAAUUGUUAUCGUUUCUAGAGGUAUAUGCUAUUGAUUUUGUUAUUUACGACCUGACACGGAUACCACCGGCUUUGCCCGCCUUCACUCUGCCAUGCAAGUACAAGUCGAUUCUCAUGAAGCUACUCGCUUGGGGUUAUCUGUUGUUUCUCAAGUUGCAUUAUUUGUAUUUUAUCUCAAUCUAUGUUUACUUUAAUGUGUGAGUGUAGAUGUAAAUGGCUGAUAUUGAUAAAUGCAUGCACACAUUCAUUUAUGUUUUCUACAGGGAAUUGGUAGGCUAUCUUUGGUUGCUGCAUCUGCAGCUCAAUCAGCUGCAACUAUAGUACAGGCUGGCACAAAAAGCUCACCUCUCAGAAUUGGUCACCUUGGCACCAGUUGGCUCCUUCUUCCUUUGGGUUUCGUCCCAAUUCCGGUACUGUGCUCAGAAUCACCACCUCAUGGGCAGCAAUGUCGAAUCCGAAGGUUACCCAUUUCACUACUCCCACCCAGAAUCUCAUUUCAUCUAGGCAUUUUAUUGAACACCUGGUGUGCAUUUGAGCUCAAAUUGCAUUUGUCACAUGGGUUGGUAAAUCUGGCCUUGCAGCAACGAUGCCGAAGCCACACUAGCAACGACGCCCAGCUGCGCUGGUAAUAUCCCAAGCUCUCUGGUAUCCACAUCUUCAAAUUCAGCUCCAAGUUCAAACUAAAACAUAGUAGAUUAUAUAAACAAAAUAAAAAGUAACAAUAGACAUAAAAAGAAGAAAUGUUACCGUUUGUCUUUGAAAGAAUCAGGGGAAUUAAAAAUUCAUGUUUCAACAGCCAAUG